AAAAAUAAGAUAAAUAAAUGGUGAGAUUUUUCUAUAAAUAAAAUGGGUAAAUUUUUGUAUCAGGAGUCAAUUAAACAAUGUUGGUAUCUAUAUCCUCUCUACCCUUCUCUUGUGCUUGUUGGAGUUCUAUCGUUUUAAGCUAAUUUUUUUUAUCUUUGGUAAAAAACGUUUAAGCUCUUCCUUCUCAUUAGAUCUAUGUUAUUAUUUUCACUCUCCAACCUGGUGUAGUGCUUAAUUUUUUAAAAACAUUUCAUAAUAUUUGAUAGGUAAUUAUUUUUAUUCUCGUUUCUUCUCCUCCUAUUUAUCAAUUUUCGAGUUUCGUCGUUCCGAUUCUUUUCUUGAGAUGUGGGUUGUUUUCUUCAGAUCUAUGAUUGUAUGCUUGUAUUGUUGGUGUCCCUGAUUAUUUCUUUUCUACCACUAUCUAUAGACGGUAUUGAGUCCUGUAAAUAUGGGUUUUCUGCUGGUUGAAAUUCUUGUGAAAUGACAUUUCUGCCUGCUGAAGCCAUGGGGGAUGGGUUGUCUUCUUUGUCCUAAUUUUACUCAUGUGAGCUUCAGAUUCGGAAGUUUCGUUUUGAUACGAGUAAGAUCAUGACCUUGGACACUUUUUGAGAAUUUUAAAGAGCACUUAGAAGAGUGCAUAAGCCCAAGUGUGAAGAAAGCCCAAAACCAUCCUUUUGAUGCAUUUAAGGGGCUGCUUUUGGAAAGGGUUCUUUUGUUAUUUUUCUAUUAUGUGUAAUGUUGUAUAAAUAAAAUCUUGUAGGAUUUAUUUUCUUAGUUUUUGAAUGUUAUUGAAAAAAACUCCUUUGGAGAGAGAGCAACCGUAACUAGGGUGAUACUAGCGUGGAAUCACUAGUGUUGCAAAAUAUUGUUAGAAAUCUUGGUGCUUGAGAGGUGGACACCCUCUUGUGUUAUUGUAGAGUGUUGAUGUUGAUAUUACGAGGGUUAAGGGUCUUGGUGUUGAAUAUAUAUGUUGAUUCUUAUUAUUUUUAAUAUUGUAUGUCACACUUCUUAUCUUUUGUUCUUGUAAUCGUUGUACUAGUUUGUAGUUAUUUCUAGUGAAGCCGUGUGUUGUUGUUACAUUAUUCUUGUGUUUCGUUCCUAUUGAUAUCAUCUUAUUCUUCUGGUGUAGCUGCUGUUUUGGUGUUGAACACCUAGUAAGUUUUGGAUUCUUGAGUUGUCAUCUUGUAGUCGUUUGGUCUCUUGUACCUUGUGGAAUGUUUUGUGGGAUGUUUUGGUGUUUUUCCUUGAUCAUUUUGUAUCAUUUGGUAUCAAAGAGAGGUUUAAUUUUGUUCCAAUAAAAUUAAUCUUGAGAUUGUUAUCUUGAAAAUUAAAAAAAUAAGUGAAAAAAAGAAAAAAGUUAAUGUUCACGUUUUUACGAUUUCAAAAAAAAACUUGAUUUUUGUGUGUUUCUAAUGUUAGAUCAUUGUUCCCUAACACUAUUAAAGUCUAGAAAUUGAAAAUUUCAACAAAAAAGAAGUGUAAAAAUCAAAAAUCCCCUCAAAAAAAUACUACACCCCUUUUUUUACCCUAGGUCAAAUUUUGAGUUUUUGAUUUUGUAUUUUUCUUGUAUUUUUUGUGUUAGAUUUGUGUUCUCUAACACUAUAGGAGUAUAAGGUUCAAAUUUGAGCUGAAUUGGAGGUUAUUUAAGUCAUCCACCAUUGUUGAGUUUGAGUUUGAAGAAACUUGAAGGUGAGAUCUCAUUGUGGGAGGUUGUUUUGAACUAAUGUGUGUUUU
RNAcentral lists this long non-coding RNA (1734 nucleotides) under Capsicum annuum. RNAcentral's name for it is "long non-coding RNA (CANN_LNC004366)". Lineage: Eukaryota; Viridiplantae; Streptophyta; Magnoliopsida; Solanales; Solanaceae. The record is from RNAcentral.